UCUAGAAAGUUUUCAAACACCUUGGAUAUGGCGGCCACGAGCUUCGCGAAUGUGGCGGGGGUUCUCGGCGCGCCUGGCGCCAAUCCGCCGAUUUCUCGCUCUUCCGCAGCUGUUGUGAGGAUGAAUGCGAGCGGCGCGGCUGGAGAGAGGAGCGUGGCGCUUAGGGUUUCGUCGCCGGGCAGGGAAGGCAGGGCGGAGCUGGCGGUGAUCUCCGGGGAAGCGGAACUUGAUGAGGUUUUGCAGCGAGCGCAGGAGGACGAUUCAAUCGUUCUCAUCGAAUGGAUGGCAGCGUGGUGUAGGAAAUGCAUCUACUUGAAGCCUCAAUUGGAGAAGCUGGCUUUGGAAUUCCAGCACGGAGCAAAAUUCUUUUGUGUGGACGUCAAUGCCGUUCCACACGCAUUGAUUAAACGCGUUGGUGUUUCGGUAUGUUCUCUCAAUUGCGUGUUUGAUUUGGUUUGUUCAUCUUUUUUCCUUUUCCAGAGAAUGCCAACUAUUCAGCUGUGGAAGAACAAGGAAAAGAAAGCAGAGAUCAUUGGAGGUCAAAAGGCCGAGCUGGUUGUGGAAGAAGUCCGGCAAAUGUUGCAGACCCUCGAAAAGUGACUCGUUCGUUGGAACUCGAGGACGAUAUUCCACCAACAUUUUUAUCCCUCGGACUAAAAGUGCCUGUAUAUGGUGGUCUACUCGACGAGCCAAAGCAAAAAAACUUUGGUCAGAGAUUUCCAUGAGAUCCAUCAGAAUAGAAACAAGGAGAUCAGAGAUUUGUCGCGCUUGAUUGCGGCUAUAAAGACGUGCAUCAAGAGCAGGGAUCUGGAAAUGGGGUACAAACUUCACGCGGAGGCAGCUCAAAGUGGAGACGACUCAA
RNA transcript from Selaginella moellendorffii, 862 nucleotides. It is a transcript of the gene named thioredoxin-like 3-2, chloroplastic, with no coding region annotated. The record is from RefSeq and is a predicted model, not a curated record. The transcript has 6 exons. Lineage: Eukaryota; Viridiplantae; Streptophyta; Lycopodiopsida; Selaginellales; Selaginellaceae.